This 300-nucleotide ribosomal RNA is filed under the name uncultured Lactobacillus sp. Its description in RNAcentral is "partial 16S ribosomal RNA". It matches the Rfam family "Bacterial small subunit ribosomal RNA", at positions 492 to 795 of the family's 1533-position model. Lineage: Bacteria; Bacillati; Bacillota; Bacilli; Lactobacillales; Lactobacillaceae. The record is from RNAcentral.
GUUAGUCAGUUGCGAAAGGCGGGUGUAAUACGUAGGGUGUAGGUGUUAAUCGGAAGUACUUGGCGUAAAGCGUGCGCAGGAGGUUUUGGAAGACAGGUGUGAAAUCCCCGGGCUUAACCUGGUAAGUGAGUUUGUUACUGCAAGGCUGGAGUUCGGCAGAGGGGGAUGGAAUUCCGCGUGUAGCAGUGAAAUGCGUAGAUAUGCGGAGGAACACCGAUGGCGAAGGCAAUCCCCUGGGCCUGCACUGACGCUCAUGCACGAAAGCGUGGGGAGCAAACAGGAUUAGAUACCCGGGUAGUC